Long non-coding RNA from Brassica napus (rape), 435 nucleotides. RefSeq lists it as uncharacterized. The transcript is spliced from 2 exons. Lineage: Eukaryota; Viridiplantae; Streptophyta; Magnoliopsida; Brassicales; Brassicaceae. The record is from RefSeq and is a predicted model, not a curated record.
AAAUUAGCCCAUUGAAAGAGAGAGAGUUGAAUGUGUUUUGCGAAGGAAACAGAGAGUCGCAGAGAGAACUUCUGAUUGGCGAUGAUCUCCAUUCACUGCUGCAUCUCUGAUGCUCUUCUAGGUCGGUUGUUUCGCUCGUUCCAGAUCCAGUAGAGAGUAGCUUGCUAGCCGAGGAGAGUCAGAGAACGAGUAAAAGCUGGUGGAAGCAGAGUUAUCAUUUGGUGAAGAGUGUUCUCCCAUCUACGUUCCGGCGUGAUUCUGCAUCUGGCAGCGACAACUUGCAUCUUCUAGAAAUACAUGUUUAACUAUUCAUGCAUGUAUGUUGUAUAUAUUUAUACGUUUGUAUACAUGUAUUUUUAGUAUAUAUAUACUAUCCAUACUGGUUUCUCGAGACAGAAUAUGAAAGAGAAUCUGUAUAGAUAGAUUGAUCAACCA